AUUCUAUGAUGUCAUGGUUCCUUCUCUAUGCGUGUUCUCUUGAGAACCAAGCAGGAUCAAUAGUUUUCAGAAGAACAGAAGUACAGAAAAAAAUGUGUUGUACUGCCCUAGCUCUACCCCUCCCAGGUUAUGACUCCUUCUGUUACUUUUGACUGGGUCCUACCUUCCGUUUUUGGUCCAGUAACAGGGCUGCCAUUUGGGAAUGGAUUCUCAGGCUCUAGUUGCUCCCCAGAAAAGCCUCAGCAAGUCAUUUUACCCUUUGCCUCUCACUCUACAUGGGUCUUUUCGAGAAUAUCUUAAUGAAAUAUUUCCUCAUCCCUGCGGACAAAGAGAUUUUUAUUGUGGGGGUGUCCCAUUAUUUUCCAUCUCAGGGACUCCUCCUUCAUUGUUUCCUUUUCUCUUCUGCUUCUCUUUCAUGGCUGCGCGUUUCUUCUUCCAGUGUUGCGGGCUAGGUCAGCAGCUGCAGGAGAACUUGAUUAGUGCCUUGCCUCAGUGCAGAUGCAUUUCCCUGACAGCAUCGAUCCUGGGUGCUUUCGCUUUGCAGGCAGCUCCACAGAGGAGGAGCUUGUACUGCAAAGGAGGUGGACUGUUGUCUGUUCAAGAUAUGAGUGGGAUCACUAAAACAUGGAAGCAACAAAAGUACCUACACUUCUAUCUCUACCUGACAAGAAAAUAUUGCAAGAUUACAAGCUAACCAUCACCUGGAAGGAAGAAAUGUUGGGCAUGGCACUAACUGAUGUGUAUAUUUACCGUGAAGUUUACCCCAGGUGAAAAGAGGAAACCAGCUGUGUGAAUGGAAUUUGGAGAAAGGUAAUACCCGCUGGCCAACAAGAGAAAGAUCCAUGAAAUCUAUAUAGUCGUCCUGGAUAAGAGUUUGCCAAGAUUUCUGUAGACUUGGUCUUCCUUUCUACUCCUGGAAAAAUUCCCUUUAGGGCAGAGUUGAAGCACAUUUUAACAGAGUAGCACUUGCUCUUCUGCCUAUAUGCUGCCUAAGCAGUAGAUAAUCAGAAGUGCUCUGGGUUCCGAAUUCAGCUGCAACAAAAAUCACUUUUUAAACAGUUUGCUGUUGAGACACCCGAAUUACUGACUCACUUUGGAUGGCGUCUUCACUAUCUAGGAUAAAAGUGCUUUAAAUGUACUCUAUAGCAUAACCUAUAGUGAUAAUGCAGUAUGCCAUGUUAUUUACCACUU
RNAcentral lists this long non-coding RNA (1191 nucleotides) under Sus scrofa (pig). RNAcentral's name for it is "lncRNA (ENSSSCG00025066823.1)". Lineage: Eukaryota; Metazoa; Chordata; Mammalia; Artiodactyla; Suidae. The record is from RNAcentral.